This is a long non-coding RNA of Pan troglodytes (chimpanzee), 4429 nucleotides long. RefSeq lists it as uncharacterized. The transcript has 3 exons. NCBI's taxonomy places the organism in Eukaryota, Metazoa, Chordata, Mammalia, Primates, Hominidae. The record is from RefSeq and is a predicted model, not a curated record.
GUUCUAGAUCUGCACUACCUAAUACAAUAGCCACUAGCCAUAUGUGCCUACUGAAUAUUUAAAAUAUGGCUAGUGUGACUGGGAGCUGAAGUUUCCAUUUUAUUUAGACUUAACUAGCUCAAAUUUAAAUAGCCACAUGUAACUUAUGGCUUGGUAUUGGACGGCAUAGAACAUCUAUAGAAAAUCAAAAGCAGUGGGUAAAAAAUGAGGAAUCAGAAGAAGCCCCCCUCCCACCACCACCCCCACCAACCCUGCCCAGUGUCCUUGGACUCAACUCUAUUGGUCUGUACUACAAAGGAAAUGACAGAUGACACUAGAAUAGUAACUGAAUCUAACGUGACUAAUGAGUGUAUUUGGCUCCAAAUCAGCAAAAUAGAGACACCGUACAAUUGCACUGCCAUGUGAAAACUGUGAUUUAAAAAACAGCUAUUUCUACCACAGAUCCAACACUGGAUCAUCCAGAUUCAUAAGACAAGUUCUUAAAGACCUAUGAAGAGAUGGAAAUAACCACACAAUAUAGUGGGAGACUUCAACACCUCAUUGACAAUGUUAGACACAUAAUCAAGGCAGAAAACUAACAAAGAUAUUCAUGACCUAAACUUGACACUUGACCAAAUGGACUUAACAGACAUCUACAAAACAUUACACCCAAGAACAACAGGAUAUACAUUCUUCUCAUCUGCACAUAGCACAUACUCUAAGAUUGACCACAUGCUCAACCAUAAAGCAAUUUUAAACAAAUUCAAAAAACCAAAAUCAUACUAACCAUACUCUUAGGCCACAGCAUAAAAUAUAAAUCAAUACCAGGAAGAUCUCUUAAAACUAUACAAUAACAUGGAAACUAAACAACCUAAUCCUGAAUGACUUUUGGCAUUCUGAAAAUUAAGGCAGAAAUCAAGAAAUUCUUUGAAACUAGUGAAAACAAAGAUACAACAUACCAGAGUGUCUGGGACACAGCCAGAACAAUGUCAAGAGGAAAGUUUGUAGCAUUAAACACCUACAUCAAAAUGUUAGAAAAAUCUCAAAUUAACAAAGUAACAUCACCUCUAGAGGAUCUAGAAAAAACAAGAGCAAACCAACCCAAAAGCUAGCAGAAGAAAAAAAAUAACCAAAAUCAGAGCUGAACUGAAUAAAAUUGAGAUGCAAAAAUCCAUACAAAAGAUCAACAAAACCAAAGCUGGUUUUUUGAAAGAAUAAAUAAGAUUGAUAGACAACUAGCUAGACUAAUAAAGAGAGAGAAAAUCCAAAUAAACACAAACUCAAAUGACAAAGGGGACAUUACCACCAACCCCACAGAAAUACAAAACACCCUCAGAGACUAUUUUGAACACCUCCAUGUACAUAAACUAGAAAAUGUAGAAGAAAUGGUAAAUUCUUGGAAAAAUACAACCUCCUAAGAUUGAACCAGGAAGAAAUUAAAUACCUGAACAGACCAAUAAUAAGUUCUUAAAUUGAAUCAGUAAUUUAAAAAACCUACCAACCAGAAAGAGCCCUGUACCAGAUGGAUUCACAGACAAAUUCCACCAAACAUACAAACAAGAGCCAGUACCAAUCAUACUGAAAAUAUGCCAAAAAUCAAGGAGGAGGGACUCCUCAUUCUAUAAGGCCAGCAUCACACUGAUACCAAAAUCUGGCAAAGAGACAGGACAAAAAAAGAAAACUUCAGGCCAACAUCCCUGAUGAAAGUAAAUGCAAAAAUCCUCAACAAAAUACUAGCAGAUCGAAUCCAGCAGCACAUCAAAUACCUAACUUACCACGAUCAAGUAGGCUUUAUUCCUGGGAUGCAAGGUUGGCUCAACAUAUCCAAAUCAAUAAAUGUGAUUCAUCACAUAAACAGAACUACAAACAAAAAAACCACAUGAUCAUCUCAAUUGUUGUAGAAAAGGCUUUUGACAACAUUCAACAUCCCUUCAUGUUAAAAGUCAUCAACAAACUAGGCAUCAAAGGAACAUACCACAAAAUAAUAAGAGCCGCCAGGAAAAACCCACAGCAAACAUCAUACUGAAUGAGCAAAAGCUGGAAGCAUUCACCUUGAAAACCAGAACAAGACAAGGAUGUCCAUUAUUAUCAUUCCUAUUCAACAUGGUACUGGAAAUCCUAGCCACAGCAAUCAGGCAAGGAAAUAAAAGGCAUCCAUAUAGGAAGAGAGGAAGUAAACUAUCUCUCUUCACAGAUGAUAUGAGUCUAAACCUAGAAUACUCCAUAGUCUCUGCCCAAAAGCUUUUAGAACUGUUAAACAACAUCAGUAAAGCUUCGGGGUACAAAAAUCAGAAGCAUUUCUAUACACCAACAAUCUCAAGCUGACAGCCAAAUCAAGAAUGCAAUCCUAUUCACAAUUGCCACAAAAGGAUAAAAUACCUAUGAAUACAGCUAACCAGGGAGGUGAAUGAUCUCUAUAGAGAAAUACAAAACAAAGAAGACAGAGACAAUACAAACAAAUGGAAAAAUAUUCCAUGCUCAUGCAUAGGAAGAAUAAAUAUUUUUAAAAGGGCCAAACUGCUGGGCAUGGAGGCUCAUGCCUGUAAUCCCAGCACUUUGCGAGGCUGAGGCAGGUGGAUCACUUGAGGUCAGGAGUUUGAGACUAGCUUGGCCAACAUGGUGAAACCUCAUCUCUACUAGAAAUACAAAAAUUAGCUGGGUGUGGUGGUGUGCACCUGUAAUCGUAGCUACUUGGGAGGCUGAGGCAAGAGAAUCGCUUGAACCCAGGAGACGGAGGUUGCAGUGAACCAAGAUCAUGCCACUGCACUCCAGCCUGAGUGACAGAGUGAGACUCUGUCUCAAAAAAAAAAAAAAAAUUAAUACAAAAUUUUUAAAAAGGGCCAUACUGCCCAAAGCAAUUUAUAGAUCCAAUGCUAUUCCUAUCAAACUACCAAUGAUAUCUUUCAGAGAAUUAAAAAAUAUACAUUCUAAAAUUCAUAUGGAAUCAAAAAAGAACCCAAAUAGCCAAAACAACCCUAAGUAAAAAGAACAAAGCUGGAAGCAUCACACUACCUGAUUUCAAACUAUAUUACAAGGCUACAGUAACCAAAACAGCAUGGUACUGGUAUAAAAAUAGACACAUAGACCAAUGGAAGAGGUUAGAAAACCCAGAUAUAAAGCCACACCCCUACAACCAUCUGAUCUUCAAUGAAGUCGACAAUAACAAGCAAUGGGGAAUGGAUUCUCUAUUCAAUAAAUGCUAUAACUGGCUAGCCAUAUGCAGAAGAUUGAAAAUGGACCCCUACCUUUCACCAUAUACCAAAAUCAACUCAAUAUGGAUUAAAGAAUUAAACUUAAAACCUAAAAGUAUAAAAACUCUAGAAGAAAACCUAGGAAAUACCAUUCUGACAUAGGUGUUGGUAAAUAUUUCGUGAUGAGGUCUCCAAAAGCAAUUGCAACAAAAACAAAAAUUGACAAGUGGGACAUAAUUAAACUAAAGUGCUUCUGCAUGGCAAAAAAAUAUAUAUCAACAGAGAAAACAGACAACCUACAGAAAAGGAGAAAAUAUUUGCAAACUAUGCAUCUAACAAAGUUCUAAUAUUCAAAAUCUCUAAGGAACUUAAACAAAUCAACAAACAAAAAUCAAACCAACCCUUAAAAAAUGGGCAGAGGACAUAAACAGACACUUCUCAAAAGAAGACAUACAUGAGGCCAACAAGCAUAUGAAAAAAAUGCUCAACAUCACUAAUCAUUAGAGAAAUGCAAUCAAAACCACAAUGAGAUACCAUCUCAUAGCAGACAGAAUGGCUAUUAUUAAAAAGUGAAAAAAUAACAAAUGUUGGUAAGGUUGUGGAAAACAGAGAACACUUACACAUUGCUGGUGGGAAUGUAAUGAGUUCAGCCUCUGUGGAAAGCAGUUUGGAGAUUUCUCAAAGAACUUAGAACCACCAUGUGACCUAGCAAUCUCAUUAUUGGGUAUAUACCCAAACCAACAAAAAUCAUUCUACCAUAAAGACAUAUGCACACAUAUGGUCAUCAGCACUUUUCACAAUUAACAUGGAAUCAACCUAGAUGCACAUCAGUGGUGGACUGGAUAAAGAAAAUGUGGUAUAUAUACACCACGGGAUAUUACACAAACAUAGAAAGGAAUGAAAUCAUGUCCUUUGCAGUAAUAUGGAUGCAGCUGGAAACCAUUAUCCUAAGUGAAUUAAUGCAGGAACAGAAAACCAAAUACUGCAUCUUCUCACCUAUAAGUGGGAAUUAAACAAUGAGUACACAUGGAUGCAAAGAAGGGAACAAUGGCCACCAGGGCUUAUUUGAGAAUGGAAGGUGGGAGGAGGGUGAGAAUCAAUAAACUACCUAUUGGGUACUAAGCUCACUACCUGGGUGAUGAAAUAUUAUGUACACUCAACCCUAAUGACACACAAUUUACCCAUGUAACAAACCUUCACCUGUACCUCCUAAACCUAAAAUAAAAGGUGGAAGAAAAAAAAUGUGUUUACCUGGCCAG